GCGCCCGUAGCUCAGCUGGAUAGAGUAACGGACUACGAAUCCGGAGGCCAGAGGUUCGAAUCCUCUCGGGCGCGCCA
RNAcentral lists this transfer RNA (77 nucleotides) under Bacillota bacterium. RNAcentral describes it as "Firmicutes bacterium (anaerobic digester metagenome) tRNA-Arg". It matches the Rfam family "tRNA". Rfam says of the family: Transfer RNA (tRNA) molecules are approximately 80 nucleotides in length. Their secondary structure includes four short double-helical elements and three loops (D, anti-codon, and T loops). Lineage: Bacteria; Bacillati; Bacillota. The record is from RNAcentral.